This 402-nucleotide ribosomal RNA is filed under the name uncultured bacterium. RNAcentral describes it as "bacterial SSU rRNA". It matches the Rfam family "Bacterial small subunit ribosomal RNA", at positions 356 to 773 of the family's 1533-position model. The record is from RNAcentral.
GGGGGAUAUUGGACAAUGGGGGGAACCCUGAUCCAGCGACGCCGCGUGAGUGAAGAAGUAUUUCGGUAUGUAAAGCUCUGUCAGCAGGGAAGAAAUCAUGACGGUACCUGACCAAGAAGCCCCGGCUAACUACGUGCCAGCAGCCGCGGUAAUACGUAGGGGGCAAGCGUUAUCCGGAAUUACUGGGUGUAAAGGGAGCGUAGACGGUUAAGUAAGUCUGGAGUGAAAGGCUGGGGCCCAACCCCGGGACUGCUCUGGAAACUAUUUAACUUGAGUGCAGGAGAGGUAAGCGGAAUUCCUAGUGUAGCGGUGAAAUGCGUAGAUAUUAGGAGGAACACCAGUGGCGAAGGCGGCUUACUGGACGGAAACUGACGUUGAGGCUCGAAAGCGUGGGGAGCAAAC